This 10578-nucleotide long non-coding RNA is filed under the name Lynx pardinus (Iberian lynx). Lineage: Eukaryota; Metazoa; Chordata; Mammalia; Carnivora; Felidae. The record is from RNAcentral.
ACAUUAAAUACCCUGCUCCUCUCCCCGAUUAUAGCAGCCUCCGGAGCUCUUCCAAAUUGUCACCUAGGAUGAAUAUGACAGCAAACAAUGCUUUAAAAGUAAGUAAUCUGCUCUAUAAUUAUUUUAGCGGCUGCAACUGCCAACCAGCAGGAUCACUUAUGAAAAAGGAUGCAGUCGUUCCUUAUUAAAAAUGCAUGAAUAUAGUCUCUUGAUUGUGGAAAUAAUCAGCAGACUAUCUAAUGUAACAAGACUUAGCCACAGAAGAAUUAAUUAGGGUGAAAUUGAUUAAGGAAAAGAGGGUAAAAAUCUAUCUGUGAUGAUUCAGGCUCCGAUUAAACUCAAGCAUUAAUUCUCACAUUCUUUUCAAAUUAAGAGCCUCAUCUAAAUGCUCUGCAUUAAUAUUCCAGUGUACACCACCCUCCCUUAAAACCAAAGAGAAAUGCAAGACAUUUCUAAUGAAAGCUAAAGAUGAUGUUCUUGUUGACUAUAAAGCCUCUGUCUUAAGGAUUUCAGGAGAUUGGAGUUUUAAUUAUUAUUUUAAAUAAAGGGGCAAGGAGUUGGAGUGGGUGUAGUGAAAUCCCCAAAUUCAUUCUGGUUUUGAACACUUAGCACUUCUGUCAGGAGAUUUCUCAAAAACUAAAGGAAGCAUGCAACACAAAAAAUUAUGUGGCAGCCUCCUGAAUUCUCUUUGUUUUGCAGUGACCUGCUCUGGUACAGAUAAGGGGAGCUUGAAGGGGUCAUAUGUAUUCCAUCCUUCACCCUGAGGCAGAGCUCUAUCAAACCAGAGACCCAUCCAUAAUUAUCUACCAUCUCCUGAGAGGCCUGCGGGCGCUCCACAACUCCCUUGGUAACACCGGCAGCUAAUAUAUUCCCAGCUCCAGAAUAUGUCCUUCCCCCUCCCCCUGCAGCCAUUAAAGGAUGCUAGUGAGGAGAAGCUUCCCGCAUCACUGAUUUUUCUCUUUUCAUUUUUCCUCCCUUAGGAGCCAGCUCUGUGGUUCCCGGCUCUCCCCAGCCAAACUGUGCUUACGUUUCAUAGGGUCACUGACCUUUCUUUCCUUGCUGCUCCAACAACUGCUAUCUUUGCAGCUCUUCUUCCAUCUGCUGCCUUGUUUUUUGUUCUGUGGCCAUUGUGGUUGAGUACGUCCUUUGUCUGAGCUGGGACAGACAACUCCUGGCUGAGAAGCAUCCUGGAAGGCUCAGAGCCGUCCCUCUAUGCAGUAUGCAACCACUCAACACCAACUGGGGGACCCACUAGCCAAGAUGCUCUGAGGUGGGGCACUCAGGGUUGCCAGCCUUAUCAGUGAAAUAUGGAAAGACAGAAAUAAAGAAGCAAUUUCAAGACCUUUGGCCUGAAUAUGAUCUUCUUUUCUCUUUGCCACCCUAGAAGGUAAUCAUGGUCAGAGUGGGAGAUAGAGUUGUUCAAGAGGCCUCCAAGCAGAAUCUAUUUCCACUUUGGGUAGUCUAGCCAGGUCUCCCUGAGGAGUUUGUCAAGCAGUGUGGCCUGGGAGAGGGCAUUCCAGACGGAGGGGACGGUGUAAGGGGAUCUGGAAACAGCAUGAAUAUGGCAGGCUUCACUUUCCUGGGCCUACAAGGGAAAUCUCAUUUAUAUUUAUUAUAAAAUAUCCAUGAUGCUUUUCUCCCCCACAGACCUGCUUGCUAGUCUCAACUGCUUCAAGCAUACCUGGGCAGAUGUCAUUGGAGGAAUCUGGGGUAGGCCACAAAAGAGCUAUAGGGAGCUACCACUGAGAGCCUCAGGGAAAAGUCCACAUACUACCUCAGGAACACAGUCAUACUCUCCUAGAGCCUGGCUCCACUGCCCAUACCUCCAGCCCAACGCUCACCGUACGUGACUUUGAAUGACAAACGAGGAAUAUGGCAAGGUGGCAAGGCCCUGUCUCCCCUCUCAGGAUGUUCCUUCCCUUCUAUGUAAAUUUGUGGUUGCAAAUUGUCAUGAGGAGGCAGGGACCCCAAAGCAGUCCAGCCCUAAAUGCAAAUAUUAAUGGGGGAAGGGAAGGAUGGUCAUCCUAACAACACCCAUCCACAGAGCCAGCAUCUCAGACUCAACCAAAAGGUCCUGUGCCCUACACAAAGGCCAUAACCAUGGCCAUAACCAAUCCUCUUCCUCUUCUCUCUUCCCUCUCUUUUACACUAUUCUUCUCCCAUCUUUCCCUCAAUUUGGUUAUUAGCAACCUGAUUCUAAGGACCUACCCAAGACUUAGACUUUAUCCUUGGUACUGAGGAGGAUACAAGAGAAAAAGAUGUGAACCCUGCUCUCCAGGAUUUCACAGGUGGUCAGGAGAAUGACAUGAACCCACAGCAAGUGACAAACCAUAAUAGAGGAGCCACCAAUUUAACAUUGAUGUCAGAAAGGAGCAACCCUUGGAACAUGGGCUGGGGUAAUCAGGAAGACUCUGGGGAAUAGGUGGGACUUGAAUUAAGUCUUGAGGCUCAGUUGGCAUCACAUAGAUUGAAGGGAGAAAGGAAAGAUUCUAAGGAAGGGUGGGACAGCAAAAGCCCAGGCUGGAGAGCAGGUUAGAGGACCCUUCAGUCUGACUGCAAGGGAAGAUAAUGCUGGGGAGUAAGGAAGCCAAGCUUCGCAAAGCCUUGAAUGCCAGCUAUGGAGGUUUGGAUUUUAAGCUAAGUUGUUGAUUAUCAAACUUUAGUGUGCUGCAGCAUUCCCUGGGGUACUGGCUAAAAUGAAAGAUUCCCAGGCCCCAGACUCAGUAGGCAUGGCAUUUUAAAGUUUAUUUAUUUAUUUUGAAAGGGGGGGGGGGAGUGGGAGGGGCAGAGGGGGAGGGGCAGAGGGAGAGGGAGAGAGAGAAUCCCAAGCAGACUCCACACUGUCAGCAAAGAGCUCAACCCAGGGCUCAAUCUCAUGAACUGUUGAGAUCAUGACCUGAGCCAAAACCGAGAGUCGUAUGCUUAACCGACUGAGCCACCCAGGAAUGGGAGGGCAUUUUAAAUAAGCACCUCAGGUGACUCUGAUGGUGACCCACAGGCAUGUUUGCUGAAGGUUCUUUUCUCACCAUUUUUGUCCUGUGGGUUUUGUUUGCAUCAUGGAAACCACAGCACCAAAGAGGGUUCCCAGUUUCUGCAAGGAUGUUGAGCCUUGUCUUCUAGGAACCUGGAGGCUGGGGCAAGGAACAAUUUUGACUACACUAAAGCCAAAGGGAAAGCAGCUCUAUUGAACAACUCACAACUAGAGUCAUUCCUGAACAAGAGUGGAGAAGCUGCCUCAGACCCUGGAACUGUGUGGGGCCCCCUCUUGAGUGACCCCAGUGAUUAAAAAUGGAGCCAAUGAAGAAAUACCUUUGCUGGAGAUAUUGUAAAAGUGUUCAGCUCUAGGUUCCUUUAAGUAGCUAUCUCCCGGGGCACCUGGGUUGCUCAGUCAGUUGAGGGUCCAACUUCGGCUCAGGUCAUGAUCACACGGGGUUUGAGCCCUGCAUCGGGUUCAGUGCUGACAGCUCAGAGCCUGGAGCCUGCUUCAGAUUCUGUGUCUCCCUCUCUCUCUGCCCCUCCCUGCUCAUGCUCUGUCUCUCUCUCUCUCUCUCUCAAAAAUAAACAUUAAAAAAAACCUGUCAUUAAAAAAAUAAUAAGGAAGGAAGGAAGGGAGGAAGGGAGGGAGGGAGGGAGGAAGGAAGGAAGGAAGGAAGGAAGGAAGAAAGAAAGAAAGAAAGAAAGNNNNNAUAAAUAAAAACAUUAAAAAAAUUUUUUAAAUGUUUAUUUAUUAUUGGCAGUCCCAGGGAACUAAUACAAGUGCUUCUAGGGAAGGGGGUGAGGCAAGGGUUGACUGCUUUCUGCCCCUCCCCUGCUCAUGCUCUGUCUCUCUCUCUCUCUCUCUCAAAAAUAAACAUUAAAAAAAACCUGUCAUUAAAAAAAUAAUAAGGAAGGAAGGAAGGAAGGAAGGAAGGAAGGAAAGAAGGAAGGAAGGAAGGAAGGAAGGAAAAGCUAUCUCCCUUUAGCACUGUGACAUACAUUGAACCCUGGAUCCGCCAUUUAAUACAUGCGUUUAAUGGCAAGUUACUUGCCCUCUCUAUUAAACCUGUUUGCUCAAGUCUCAAUGUUUACUGGGAAAUUUUCAAACCUAGAGAAAAGUUGAAAGGAUCAUGCAGGAAAAUCUAUAAAUCUUUAUCUAGAUUUACCAAGUGUUAACAUUUUGCCAUUUGUUUCCCUUUUUUCACUUUAUAUAAACAUGUUAAGUAUACAUAGGUUUAUAUAUUAUAUAUACACACUUAUUGUCUAUCUAUCUAUCUAUCUACUCUUUGUUUUUGCAAAAGCAUUUGAAAGUCACAGAUAUCAUUACAUUUCACUCCAAAUACUUAGGAACCAGGACAUUCCUCCUAUAAUUCCUCCCAUAACCACAACAUCAUUAUCACACCUAAGAAAGUUAACAUUGAUGCAGUAAUAUUAGCUAAUUUAUAAAACAUACUGAAAUUUCUCUGAUUCUCCCAAAAUAUUCUUUAUGGCUUAAAAAAAACACAGGAUACAAUCAAGAUUCACAAAGUAUAUUUAAUUGUCAUGUCUCUUUAUUUUCCUUUAACUUAGUAUGGGUCUCUCCCUGUCUCUGUUUUGUUUAUGACAUUGGCAUUUUUGAAGAGUCCAGGAAAAUUGUCUUGUAAAAUGUUCCACAAUCUGGAUUUGUCUGAUUGGAUUCCAGCUAUUUGGGGGCAAGAAUAUACUAUGAAGGUGAUGCUGUAUCCUCCCCGUGGCACCCUGUCAUGUCAUGUCAGGAGGCAUGCCCUGUCCGUUUGUCCCAUUCAUGAUGCCACAUUGAAUUACGUAGUUAAGGUGUACACCAUAUGUUUUGACACUUGGUUAGAUUUACCUAAGCACUGUAUUGAUCAACUCAGUCAGAUUGUAAAGUGCUUGAGGGCAAAAACUGAGUCUUUGGAAAAUAAUACUUUGCAGUUUACAAGAUUUUUUCAUAGAGCUUAUCUUGUUUCUUCCUCAGAUACCUCUAAGGGAGAUAUUUUUAUUCCCAUUUUACAGGAAUGCAAAAUUUCAGUGUUUAGGAACCCUGACACUGAAUCCCAGUUCUACCCUUUCAUAAAUGUGUCUUAUGGCAAAUUACUUUAACCACUCUCUUAAAAUUCUGUUUGCUCAACAGUAAAAUGGGAAUAAUAGUAUCUUCCUCCCAUAGUUGUUAUGAGGGCUAAAUGGGGGCAUUGAAAAUAAAAUGCUUGACAUAGUGUUUAGCACGUAAAGAAUGCUCAAAAAAUGAAAGUGUUCUAUCUGUAGAGCUAAACAUAUUAUGUGCACUCACACAUAAACACAUACAUACAUAUACAUAUAUACAUAGACAUAUAUUCAUAUAUAUACAUAUAUACAUAGACAUAUAUACGUGUGUGUGUGUGUGUAUAUAUAUAUAUAUAUAUAUAUAUAUAUAUAUAUGAAUGCUCAGGAAAGUUAAGUGUCUGGUCUGUGGUCCUCAACAAAACAGCAAGCAGAACCCAAUUCAAGCCCCAUCUGCCUGACUCCAAACCCAAAUCCUAUGCCCAUUAUUCACACACCAUCCUGCAGGCAUUGGGCCAACCCUUAUCACAUUAUAGGAAACAUUUGAUCAAAAUCAUUUGAAUAACGUUAUAAAAAUUAGUCUUCAAAUAUCUUAUUCACACCUAAUUUCAAGAUGCACAAAGCAGGACCCUACUGCUCUGAUCAUACAGGUUGGCCAUGGGUCCCCAUAUCAAUGCCCUUUCUUCCCAGAAUCUGCUAGUACGCUGCCUUCAGCUCACUGCUGUGUUGGCAAUCUCACAACAUCCCAAGCUCUCCACAUUAAACAGCAGUCACCAUGCACCCAGAAGCAACAUAUUGUAGCCAGAGAUCAUUCUGUCUUUGACCUUAAAUGUUCCCCUGUGCUGCCCUGCAGAAUAAUUGCUCUGGAGUAGGAACAAGACCAGAGAAUGAGACUUGGUUGAAGUGGGGAAGCUUUAGGAGGCCAGGCCAGGCAGAAGUCCCUGAAAGCUCCCAUAGGCUUUCAUUAGAAAUUCCCAUUCCUGCUUUCUACUAAGUACCCCAGCCCCUGCCCCAGUCUAUAGAAGGGAAUCCACAGAAACAGCAAACCAUCAUUUUGAGUCAAGGGUCUUUAUCCCAUGUGAACUAGGAUGGGUCCACCCAAGAACUAAUCCCAGGGGUGCUUGACUGGCUAAGUCAGUGGAGCAUUCCACUCUUGAUCUCAGGAUUGUGAGUUCGAGCCCCACAUUGGGUGUGGAGAUGACUUAAAAAAUACAGUCUAAAAAACCCCAAAAAACCUAAUCCCACCUGUCUAUGAUUUUGAAAUGUGGGUUUGCUGUUCAGACACAUGUCUGGGAUCCACAGCAAGGAAAGAUCACUGCUAAUGAAGAGUUCACAGAGGUGGUGGGCCUUGGAAAAGGGUGGAUUGGAGUUGGAUAAGGAGGAGGAGAAAGGGAAGUCCUGAUUUUGUGAGCAUGGGGGCACAGAGCAUUAGUAAAAGCACAGAGGUAGGAUAACAAAGGCCCGAUUCAGGGAUGGAGGGGACAGUAUGUGCCCAGGAGGAGCGCAGAGAGGGAAGAACUCCUCCCUUCCAGACACAGAGCAGGUUGUGGCUGUGGAGCAGCUGAAUAUUUUAUUGAUGGAAAAUUGGAUGUGGCUAUGGUGCUUGGGAUGUGGAUUCUGAUUUCAUGGCUGGGUGUACUAGAUGGCCAAUUAGGCCACAGAAGGGAGACCCACACCCCCACCCCCAGGUUUCCCAGGCCAGCAGGACCCAGAUAAUGACCUUUCUUUCAGGCAGCAUCAGUGUGUGUACAUGCUCUGGCAUGAGCCAGAUGAACAACCCAUUGCCUCACAGGUUCUCGGUUCCAGUUAUUCAGCGGACAUACAUGUAGCCCCUACUGCUGUACCAAGUAUCGUGUUAAAUACAAAUGAGAUAUAGAUGUCUCUGCCCAGGGGACAGCUUGGAGACACAGACCCCCUAACAGGCCUCUAACUGUAGGAAGAAGAAAGUACUAUGGCCUGAGGCAGCACAGAAGAGGGGUCCCCCUGUGCUGAUGCAUUCCCCAGACAAAGAGGAAAGAGAGGGAUGCUACCCAGAGUUUACUGAGGACUCUGUUUGGGGUAAAGCAUGAGCUGGGAGCUUGUUCUAUACUCUAACCCUUAAUCUUCAUAGUCACUGUAAAAAGUAGGUAUCACAGUUCCUAACUACGUAGACAAAAGGCAUUCCAGGUGGGCACAUGGGAAAGAACCCUGGAAUGUGGAGACACUUAGCAGUUUGGAGAAGCUGAAGCAUCAGAGGCUUACCAGGGUUGGGGCUGGCAAGAAAUGAGCCGAAGAAGAUGGAUUGGGAAGACAGAUGACAAACUUGGACUUUACCCAUCUAGCCCAUGAAGGGUUGUAAAAAGGAUGGUGCCAAAUGUCUCUUUCACUCCUUCUACCCUGAUGGCCUCUCUGGUCCUGGCCUCCUCUCCACAUACUAACCAUUCUCAUCAUAUCAACACAUAAUGAUCGCACACCUUUACUGGGAGCCAGACCCUCUCCUGGGCACUGGGGAUGUGACAAUGAACAAGACAAGGGCCUACUCUCAUGAAGUAAUGAACGAGAGAGUAGUAGAAGGAGACAGUAUCUAGGACACAAACACACAAAAUAAAGGCAAGAUUGUGAUAGGUUCUGUGACAAAAAUCAAACACAUACAUGGGACAGAAAGAAAUGGGGAGGGGCAGGGGGCUGCUUUAGUUAAUUGUUUCUUCUUCUUUCCAUGGAACUCUGGUUGCUAUGGAGUACAGGGGUCUCAGGACACAGAGUUGGGAAGCUGUUUAGUUCCCCCCAUUUCAAAUCCUUUUCUUGAAAGUAAGUUAACUUCCUAGAAAAACAUAUCCCAUGCUUCCAACAUUCCUGGGCCUCUGAUGCUGCUCCUUGCCAAGACUGGGGGAAAGGCCCCUAACUUCAGACACAGCCUAACCUGAUUCUUGUGGGGAUUAAGCUAGCAAGAAGCAUGGCAUGAGACAUCCUGUGCCCUCCCCACCAGUAUCAGGAGCCCAAAGUGCAGAGCCCACUUUGAAUCCCAGAGCUGGAAAGGAGAAAAUGGUGAGGCCAUGCAGGACAGACAGUAGAUGUUUGCAGAACAUUUUCAGGGAUGGGUUCCUUUCCCUUCAUCCAUGAGCCAUUGCAGAAUAUCAUCCUCUUGGCACCAACAGUGUCCUUCUUUCUCUGGAAUGACCCCUCUGCUUCAGUGCCCUAUCUUGGCCUGUGGACAGGGAGAAGACAUAUUUAAUCCCAGGCCCAACAGUCCUCAGAGACCAAGUCAGCCUGAGUAGGCUUCUCCCAGUUCACACAAUCUUGGGCCCUUUGGACGUCUCUCUGUGGCCAGGGUGUUUGUCCUGGGAGUGAGGGGAGCACAUGGGAUGCUGGCAGGGUGGCUUGUCAUACCUCAGUUUCUGGACCAUGGAGCUGGAUAGGCAAGGAAGGCUGUGGUGUGGAGCUAGAAGCCCAAUGAGUGGCCUCCUCAGAUAUGAGCCAACCUGCUGGAGCUCAGACAUAACACACCCAAAGGGAAUGGUGAGCAAGUCAAACUGGUGGGGCUGGAUCCCAAGCUGUGCCAUCCUGGAAGGAUUCUUGGAAAACCAGACAGAUGCUAAGAAGGGUUGGAGUAAGAACCCAGCUCAUGCCUGCACCAACCUGGAAGGAGAGGGGUGGGGGGAAUGUGAGGGUGGGCCUGGACCACCUGCAGGCCAGAGGCCACAUUGGGAUCUGGGCUAAUGUCAAGAUGUAUUCCCAAGUUCAGAGAAAGAGGCAAUCCAUGCUGGACUGCUUAUCAGUGCCUUCCAUCCCGCAAAGGAACCAUGGCUGGGUCUGGUUUUAUUACAGCACUUUUGACCUCUUGCUUCCCUCAGGGAGGCAUGGAAACAACUGGGGACCCUGGAGAAUAAUUUGGCAGCCACCUCCCUCACUUAGAGGAUUUUUUCCACCUUUCCGCCCUCCUAUAGGCAUUUCCUAAAGCCCAGCCUUCUGAGAGGUGACAAGAAAGAAGCGUGUUAAAUUUCACAGAGCAGAGCAUUAUUAUUAUUCCCAGCCAGAGCUCAAUAUGAUGCAGAAUUUGAGGCCAUGCGUGUGAAAAAGUGCAAAUCCAUCCUCACAAUUUUUCCAAGAUUCCAUCUCAAGCAUCCUAAAGCUGAAUAAUGGGGAAUUCAGCAUUCUUCUCCUCCAUUCUCUCUGCUUCUCUGUCUCUGUCUCUCUCUCCCGCACCCCCCCCACCCACGCACACAAGCAUGCAUAUAUGCACCAUCCCCCUUACCCAUUUCAGAAUCUUCUCUUUUCUGCCAGUCUCUGCCUCCUCCUCCCCACCCCCACCUCCCUUCUUAGAAGGAGCACACCAGGACAAGAAAAUGUCCCAAUCGGGGCGCCUGGGUGGCGCAGUCGGUUAAGCGUCCGACUUCAGCCAGGUCACGAUCUCGCGGUCCGUGAGUUCGAGCCCCGCGUCAGGCUGUGGGCUGAUGGCUCGGAGCCUGGAGCCUGUUUCCGAUUCUGUGUCUCCCUCUCUCUCUGCCCCUCCCCCGUUCAUGCUCUGUCUCUCUCUGUCCCAAAAAUAAAUAAAAAACGUUGAAAAAAAAAAAUUAAAAAAAAAAAAAAAAAGAAAGAAAAUGUCCCAACCACAGAACUGAUUUCUCAGAAGGAGUUGUUAAUGCAGAUAUAGCCCCAGAAUCAUUGCUUCCCCGAGCCCAUUUCUCAGACCCACCAUGUCUAAUGUAACCCAAGAAAUGAUGCAAUUGCAUGAAGUGGCCUUCACCAGACAGUGCCCAGGGUUGCCCCGGAGAGCCAUAUCUGCUGUUGUUUUAGGAAAAGGCUAGCUCACUUUCUGUGGCAGGAGGCUGCUGAUAUGGUCCCUUCCCAGGGAUUGGCAGCUCUGAGGGGCUUGGGAAGAGCACUUAUAAAACACAGAUUCACAAAUGGGCUGCCAAGGGUCUGGGAAGGCCCUGAAACUGAAUGCACUAGUGUGAGUAUGUGUGUUUUCCUUGGGAUGAGAAUCUGUUUGUUCUGUCUGAUUCUCAAAGGAGUCAGAGACCCCGCCCAAAUGGUUACUAGUUUGGGGCGAUAGGUAAAACAAAAAGAUGAAAUGUUCCUUCUCUCAUUUUUCCCAUUGAUGAGUGUGUUUUAUGCAAUUCCUCGUGUAAAAUAGAAGCCUGAGCCCAUAGAAAUCAGGGGUUGAACAUCCUGAAUAUGCAGUUCCGUGGAUAGUCACCAAGAGAAGAUCUGAGCAGGAGACAUGAUGUCACCUUUAGGGAGGAGACUCUUCAGCUGUCUGGAGUGAGGGGAGGAGGUAGGAGAAGAAUCAGUAGCCUUGGACCCCCAGGGAGAGCCAGAUCACCUUUCUGGGACACAGUCCAGACUCUGCAUUGAACAUGCAGCUCUAAAGGAGAUGCUGUGCGGAUUCCAAGCUGCCAAAUCCUGGAGGCCCUAAGGGAGAACCCAGCUCCAGUCAGCCCAGAUGGUGUCUGGGCAUCCUGUGCCAUACCUACCAGGAUCAGGAGCCCAAAGUACAGAGCCCACUGCAAGUCAGAACUAAGACAGCUCAACACCAAGACCAGCUUCCCUGACCUCCCACAGGAGGGAGAAGAGAGAAUGAGGGCC